Molecule: unclassified non-coding RNA, 168 nt
Organism: Chelonoidis abingdonii (Abingdon island giant tortoise)
Lineage: Eukaryota; Metazoa; Chordata; Testudines; Testudinidae
Source: Ensembl
UUAAAAAUACCAGAGAAGAAAGGCCCGUUUAUCCACAGAACAUAUACAGUAUGGGCAGUUGCAGUACAUGCUUUUCCCAAACUGCCCUGCCAAGGAUCUAUGCUGCAUCCAUUUAAAGAAAGAGAGAGCUUCUGUGUUUUCACUGAACAAAACUGAUCCUUUUGUAAU